This 511-nucleotide ribosomal RNA is filed under the name uncultured bacterium. Its description in RNAcentral is "partial 16S ribosomal RNA". It matches the Rfam family "Bacterial small subunit ribosomal RNA", at positions 28 to 507 of the family's 1533-position model. The record is from RNAcentral.
GACAAACGCUGGCGGCAUGCCUAACACAUGCAAGUCGAACGGACAGAACAGGGAAGCUUUUCGGAGUGGAACUGGAAAGUUAGUGGCGGAUGGGUGAGUAACGCGUGGACAACCUACCUUGUAAAGGGGAAUAACCUCGAGAAAUCGAAGCUAAUACCCCAUAAUAACCUUGCUUCGCAUGAAGUAAGGAGGAAAGGCGGCCUUAGCGCUGUCGAUACAAGAUGGGUCCGCGUCUGAUUAGCUAGUUGGUGAGGUAAAGGCUCACCAAGGCGACGAUCAGUAGCCGGCCUGAGAGGGUGAACGGCCACAUUGGGACUGAGACACGGCCCAAACUCCUACGGGAGGCAGCAGUGGGGAAUCUUCCGCAAUGGGCGAAAGCCUGACGGAGCAAUGCCGCGUGAGUGAAGAAGGCCUUCGGGUUGUAAAACUCUGUCCCUAUCGAAGAGAGAGUGUUGUAGUAACUGACAAUACUAGGACGGUAGAUGAGGAGGAAGCCCCGGCUAACUAUGUG